Molecule: transfer RNA, 90 nt
Filed under: Clostridiales bacterium
Lineage: Bacteria; Bacillati; Bacillota; Clostridia; Eubacteriales
Description: tRNA-Ser
Rfam family: tRNA
About the family: Transfer RNA (tRNA) molecules are approximately 80 nucleotides in length. Their secondary structure includes four short double-helical elements and three loops (D, anti-codon, and T loops). Further hydrogen bonds mediate the characteristic L-shaped molecular structure. tRNAs have two regions of fundamental functional importance: the anti-codon, which is responsible for specific mRNA codon recognition, and the 3' end, to which the tRNAs corresponding amino acid is attached (by aminoacyl-tRNA synthetases). tRNAs cope with the degeneracy of the genetic code in two manners: having more than one tRNA (with a specific anti-codon) for a particular amino acid; and 'wobble' base-pairing, i.e. permitting non-standard base-pairing at the 3rd anti-codon position.
Source: RNAcentral
GGAGAAGUAUCGAAGUGGUCAUAACGGGACUGACUCGAAAUCAGUUGUACCUUAUCGGUACCGUGGGUUCGAAUCCCACCUUCUCCGCCA